Non-coding RNA from Mycena metata, 93 nucleotides. NCBI's taxonomy places the organism in Eukaryota, Fungi, Basidiomycota, Agaricomycetes, Agaricales, Mycenaceae. The record is from the annotation of a GenBank genome assembly.
GGCCAGAUAGCGCAACGGUAGCGCGCGCGCGCCCUUUGUAUAUGUUGUCCAAUGUAUGCUCGCGAGGUCUUCGUUCGAUUCGAAGUCUGGCCA